RNAcentral lists this ribosomal RNA (431 nucleotides) under uncultured Alphaproteobacteria bacterium. RNAcentral's name for it is "bacterial SSU rRNA". It matches the Rfam family "Bacterial small subunit ribosomal RNA", at positions 29 to 505 of the family's 1533-position model. The record is from RNAcentral. Lineage: Bacteria; Pseudomonadati; Pseudomonadota; Alphaproteobacteria.
AACGAACGCUGGCGGCAGGCCUAACACAUGCAAGUCGAACGAACUCUUCGGAGUUAGUGGCGGACGGGUUAGUAACGCGUGGGAAUAUACCCUUGGGUACGGAACAACUUCUGGAAACGGGAGCUAAUACCGUAUGAUGUCUACGGACUAAAGAUUUAUCGCCCAAGGAUUAGCCCGCGUUGGAUUAGCUGGUUGGAGAGGUAACGGCUCACCAAGGCUACGAUCCAUAGCUGGUUUGAGAGGAUGAUCAGCAACACUGGGACUGAGACACGGCCCAGACUCCUACGGGAGGCAGCAGUGGGGAAUCUUAGACAAUGGGGGAAACCCUGAUCUAGCCAUGCCGCGUGAUUGAUGAAGGCCUUAGGGUUGUAAAGAUCUUUCGGCGGGGACGAUAAUGACGGUACCCGCAGAAGAAGCCCCGGCUAACUUCG